This 61-nucleotide microRNA precursor is filed under the name Python bivittatus (Burmese python). RNAcentral's name for it is "Pbv-Mir-142-P4-v3_pre stem-loop". It matches the Rfam family "mir-142 microRNA precursor family", at positions 14 to 73 of the family's 85-position model. Lineage: Eukaryota; Metazoa; Chordata; Lepidosauria; Squamata; Pythonidae. The record is from RNAcentral.
CAUAAAGUAGAAAGCACUACUAAACGCUUGUGUCCAAGUGUAGUGUUUCCUACUUUAUGGA